This 497-nucleotide ribosomal RNA is filed under the name uncultured bacterium. RNAcentral's name for it is "partial 16S ribosomal RNA". It matches the Rfam family "Bacterial small subunit ribosomal RNA", at positions 28 to 507 of the family's 1533-position model. The record is from RNAcentral.
GAUGAACGCUGGCGGCGUGCCUAAUACAUGCAAGUCGAGCGAACAGACGAGGAGCUUGCUCCUCUGACGUUAGCGGCGGACGGGUGAGUAACACGUGGAUAACCUACCUAUAAGACUGGGAUAACUUCGGGAAACCGGAGCUAAUACCGGAUAAUAUAUUGAACCGCAUGGUUCAAUAGUGAAAGACGGUUUUGCUGUCACUUAUAGAUGGAUCCGCGCCGCAUUAGCUAGUUGGUAAGGUAACGGCUUACCAAGGCGACGAUGCGUAGCCGACCUGAGAGGGUGAUCGGCCACACUGGGACUGAGACACGGUCCAGACUCCUACGGGAGGCAGCAGUAGGGAAUCUUCCGCAAUGGGCGAAAGCCUGACGGAGCAACGCCGCGUGAGUGAUGAAGGUCUUCGGAUCGUAAAACUCUGUUAUUAGGGAAGAACAAAUGUGUAAGUAACUAUGCUCGUCUUGACGGUACCUAAUCAGAAAGCCACGGCUAACUACGUG